Corapipo altera (White-ruffed manakin) is the source of this 1617-nucleotide RNA transcript. It is a transcript of the gene named ataxin-2-like, with no coding region annotated. The transcript has 5 exons. The record is from RefSeq and is a predicted model, not a curated record. NCBI's taxonomy places the organism in Eukaryota, Metazoa, Chordata, Aves, Passeriformes, Pipridae.
CACCUGCCCGGCCCGCGGCACCCGGAGCCGCUACAUUCUCCAGAAAUUCUGUCCUUAAGGCUAAAAUCCUGUGGUGAAAGAGAUCAACAUAAUCAUAUCAUUGCAUUAUUAAAACCUUUACCAUCAUGCCUAUUCUUAUGCAUAAAGGUUGCACAUUAUGUACAAUACUUAAAGUAGUGUGAGGAGGCUGGAAUAAUUGUGGUCGUUUAUAUUGUGUUGCAAAAUGUACAAAAGGAAAUGUGAUUAUCAUAGUAUAUAUUUUAAAAAAGCUUUAUUGCAUGCACUUUGUUAGUGAGAGCUUUAUGAAUAGGAUCUUUACAGGCAUGUAAAGGAACUGAGGCUGCCUGUGUAUGGAUAAGAGGAGAGAGAACUUGGGGAUAUUCUAGUUUGCUGAGCUCCUAGUGAAGGAAGGAAAGACUUGAACUUGUGCAGUUUAUUUUUGUCUGUUUAUUUUCCAUUAAUAAUAUUUGAAUCCCUUAGCUAGCACCAGCCACAAAAAGUUUAGAAAAAUAAUCUGGAAAGGAGCAUGUCACCCUUCAAAAAAGUGGCAACAUCAAUGGCAAUGCCCAUUACACAUUCAAGAAUCCAUCCACAGAGGACUGCCAUCUGAAACACAAGUUAACAGAAAUCAGGGCAAGUUUUUCAGAUUCAGGAGAGAAUACUUUGUCACGUGUUUGUAAAGCAGCCAGGUCUCUACAGUCUCUGGGCAGAUUCUGGCACUGUACUCAUAAGGAUCACUCACAGUGACAGAGAACACAGCACAUUGUAACUACAGGACUUUCAUUCGACUGUGAAAGAUCUCUAUCAAGCCUCACAGAGAAUAUGAGGCAGCUGGCAGUUAUCAGCUGAAGCAGGUAGUCAGUAAAAGUGUAGAAGAUAAAUAGAUAAUUGAAAACCAAUCUGGAAACCUGGGAGAGAUAAUAAGCCUCUCUUCUAAAAGGGAGCCAACAACUCAGAAAAUAUUUUCCUCCCAAAGUUCCUCACUUCAAACGGAUGCAUUUUAGAGCUUCUCUUAUCUGAUGUCAUGAUCUUUUUCUACUGAAAUGGGAUUGCUCCAUCUCUACAACAUAACAAUGACCAUGAACAAAGACUGGUUCAUAGGUGUUCUUUUCUGCUUCCAAGGAAAAGGAUGGGCAAGGGAGGAGCACAAUCUGCAUUGCCUCUCUUCAGAAGGGAAUUUACAGCUCUAGUCUUGAGUUAAACAGCCAUUUAUGCUGAAGAACAUGUAGCCCAGAGCUCUGCCUGUCAUCUUUGUGUAUGUGUGUAUCUGUGUAUGUGUGUAUGCCUGUGUGCCUGUGUGUGCCAAAAGAAUAGUGCCUGCUUUGAAAACCUUUGCUUCUGUCACAUAUUUCCUAAAUUGGACACACAGGUAGUCUCAAUAAAAAAUAACAGCUCUCUUAGAAAUAUUCAGUUGCCUAGAUUUUUAUAAAGUACAAUAUCAAUUCAAGAAUUUUUCUUUUGUUCUUCUGAAAAACUAUUACUAACAAAGUCGAAAGUGAAAAAUGAGUCUGUGAGGUCAGACUUGCUUCUAAAUACAAUUUACUCUUACCAUACUGGUAUUACUGUUAUGGCUAUUAUGACAUUUCUAUGUAUAAAAUUUAUAUUAUAAGAAGAUCU